This 782-nucleotide long non-coding RNA is filed under the name Olea europaea subsp. europaea. Lineage: Eukaryota; Viridiplantae; Streptophyta; Magnoliopsida; Lamiales; Oleaceae. The record is from RNAcentral.
AAAGGAUUCUAUGAAGUAGCCUCAUCAAUUCCGUAUCCCUUCUCGCCCAUAAUCGACCCAAAACUGAUCCAAUUGAUUAGGUCAUGUAUUAACAAAGUUUGACAAAGGAAGAUGAUAAUCCUAUUUUGUUGGCGACUACGGCAUGAAGGAACAUCGGUGGUGCUACCACCAUUUAUGGUAUCAGAAUCAAGCUUCCAAUUUCAAAAGAUGGUACUGAAGGUGUCUUGAUAAUUUCUCCGGACACAUGUCUUUGAAGGGGUUAGGCUCGAUCUUGAUACCAUCAAUGGUGGCGGAGCCUCCCUUGGGUUCCAAGGUCUUCAAUUCCUUAGGCUGCUAAUCCAAAUUAUUAAUCUAGGUAUUUCCUUUUUACGCUUUUUUUUUUAUUAUUUUUUUCUAAUUUUCAUUCCGUCAAGAAGGUCCACAUUGUAAUUAUCUAAAAAGAAUUAAGAGUUAACUUUACCUAUCAAUCUUGAAGUUCUGGUCAUAAAAGUACUUUUUAUGACACUUUUCCAAGUUAAGGCUUAUAUGCACCCAAUCAAUUUGGAAGAACGUGAUUUAAAAGGACAGUCUACGAUUGUUACUGAAAAUUAUGUUAAUGGUCUUGAAUCUGUGGGGCUGGUAAUCUAUUCAUAUGUGGAAGAGAAAUUAUUUUAAGGCUCCUUUUGAUUGUAAAGAUGUAAUUAAAUUGAAUUGAAAACGAAUUUCAAGGAAUUGAAUUUUCUAGAAAUUGUUUUUCUGAGAAUUGUAAAUUAUUUUGUUUGAUUGUGAUAAUUUUCCAUGUG